This 403-nucleotide ribosomal RNA is filed under the name Verrucomicrobiota bacterium. Its description in RNAcentral is "Verrucomicrobia bacterium partial 16S ribosomal RNA". It matches the Rfam family "Bacterial small subunit ribosomal RNA", at positions 355 to 776 of the family's 1533-position model. The record is from RNAcentral. Lineage: Bacteria; Pseudomonadati; Verrucomicrobiota.
UGGGGAAUAUUGCACAAUGGGGGAAACCCUGAUGCAGCGACGCCGCGUGAGCGAAGAAGGUUUUCGAAUCGUGAAGCUCUGUCCUAUGAGAAGAUAAUGACGGUAUCAUAGGAGGAAGCCCCGGCUAAAUACGUGCCAGCAGCCGCGGUAAUACGUAUGGGGCGAGCGUUGUCCGGAAUUAUUGGGCGUAAAGGGUACGUAGGCGGUCUAUUAAGUCAGGUGUGAAAGCGUGAGGCUUAACCUCAUUAAGCACUUGAAACUGAUAGACUUGAGUGAAGGAGAGGAAAGUGGAAUUCCUAGUGUAGCGGUGAAAUGCGUAGAUAUUAGGAGGAAUACCGGUGGCGAAGGCGACUUUCUGGACUUUUACUGACGCUCAGGUACGAAAGCGUGGGGAGCAAACAGG